This 509-nucleotide ribosomal RNA is filed under the name uncultured bacterium. Its description in RNAcentral is "partial 16S ribosomal RNA". It matches the Rfam family "Bacterial small subunit ribosomal RNA", at positions 29 to 507 of the family's 1533-position model. The record is from RNAcentral.
ACGAACGCUGGCGGCGUGCUUAACACAUGCAAGUCGAACGAAGAGCGAUGGAAGCUUGCUUCUAUCAAUCUUAGUGGCGAACGGGUGAGUAACGCGUAAUCAACCUGCCCUUCAGAGGGGGACAACAGUUGGAAACGACUGCUAAUACCGCAUACGAUCUGACCUCGGCAUCGAGGAUAGAUGAAAGGUGGCCUCUAUUUAUAAGCUAUCACUGAAGGAGGGGAUUGCGUCUGAUUAGCUAGUUGGAGGGGUAACGGCCCACCAAGGCGAUGAUCAGUAGCCGGGCGGAGAGGAUGAACGGCCACAUUGGGACUGAGACACGGCCCAGACUCCUACGGGAGGCAGCAGUGGGGAAUCUUCCGCAAUGGACGAAAGUCUGACGGAGCAACGCCGCGUGAGUGAUGACUGCCUUCGGGUUGUAAAGCUCUGUUAAUCGGGACGAAAGGCCUUCUUGCGAAUAGUUAGAAGGAUUGACGGUACCGGAAUAGAAAGCCACGGCUAACUACGUG